This is a non-coding RNA of Nicotiana tabacum (common tobacco), 542 nucleotides long. The record is from RefSeq and is a predicted model, not a curated record. Lineage: Eukaryota; Viridiplantae; Streptophyta; Magnoliopsida; Solanales; Solanaceae.
AAAUUACUGGAAGAGAUGGAUCCGAAAAGCUAGAUAUCAGAAUUCCUGCUGGAUUUUUGGAAGGAAUCACAAACAUAGUUCCAGCAUUGGUAGGUGUAAACAUCAAAGCUCUGUUGGAUGAUGCAACUUUAGAAGAGGGAGGGAAACAGUUGUUGGAUUUUCAGGAUACAAUGGGGGACAGAAUUCAAGUUUUUUUGGAGUAAGAGAUCUUUUGUUUUUCAACGAAAAGCAUUUUGAUAAAUAAAUCUUGAACAAUCAAAAAUAAUUUGGUGAUUAUAUGUAUAUCCCUACUUUAGCUUGUACGAGCUCCCAUAUAUUUGUUUCACCUAAAAAAAGAGAAAGGAGGAAAGGUGAUGUCUUAUCAGUGACGAAGCUGAUUCCUAUAUCUCAAGUGUCUUGAUUUGUUGACUCAAUGUGAUUAAAGACUGAUGUAUGGUGACAAACAAAUACGUUGGGUGUAGAUACAUAACAAAUGUACGACUAUUCUAUUAAAUUAAAAUAGUUUGAUCAAACUAGAGGUGAAGUAUUAAUUCACCUUGUCA